This is a transfer RNA of Lepisosteus oculatus (spotted gar), 82 nucleotides long. It matches the Rfam family "tRNA". From Rfam's summary of the family: Transfer RNA (tRNA) molecules are approximately 80 nucleotides in length. Their secondary structure includes four short double-helical elements and three loops (D, anti-codon, and T loops). Further hydrogen bonds mediate the characteristic L-shaped molecular structure. tRNAs have two regions of fundamental functional importance: the anti-codon, which is responsible for specific mRNA codon recognition, and the 3' end, to which the tRNAs corresponding amino acid is attached (by aminoacyl-tRNA synthetases). tRNAs cope with the degeneracy of the genetic code in two manners: having more than one tRNA (with a specific anti-codon) for a particular amino acid; and 'wobble' base-pairing, i.e. permitting non-standard base-pairing at the 3rd anti-codon position. The record is from Rfam. NCBI's taxonomy places the organism in Eukaryota, Metazoa, Chordata, Actinopteri, Semionotiformes, Lepisosteidae.
GAUGAGGUGGCUGAGUGGUUAAAGCAAUGGAUUACUAAUCCAUUGUGCUCUACACAUGAGGGUUCAAAUCCCAUUCUCAUUG